RNAcentral lists this long non-coding RNA (201 nucleotides) under Setaria italica (foxtail millet). Its description in RNAcentral is "long non-coding RNA (SITA_LNC006177)". Lineage: Eukaryota; Viridiplantae; Streptophyta; Magnoliopsida; Poales; Poaceae. The record is from RNAcentral.
UGGAUUCCUGCAGUCAUAAUCAGUUCAGGUUACAAACCCAGCUUGCAUCCGGGUGAUCCAGCGCACAGAAACAACCGGCCCUGCUACUGUCCAGGAUGCAACUGCUAGGUCAUCAUAUACGCCUCAUGGUGUGGUGUGGGGCUACUACCACUGGUAGAGAAGUGAGCUUUAAUCCCGGUUGGUAUUCGAACCCACAACCUC